CUCAUCCUGAUCACACAAUCACCGCUCCUCCUUGCUUCCUCCUCCUUCCCGUUGCCAUUCACUAGCUGGAGAAACACGCGUUUUAUCCACCGGCCUGGUCUCACACCGACGAUACAGAAAAAACAGCAAAUUUGACAUAACGUGUUGAGCAUUUGUCUUUGAAUACUAGUUUAAGCUCAACAACUUUACCCAGGAAGGUGAGUUAAGAGCUUGAAUAAGAUUUUCUAAUAAACAUUAAGCAGGAAAUGCCUUCCCCAAAACAGUGUAACAAUGGUGUAUUAGUGUUUGAUAUUCAAUCAGUAUCAAUAUUACUAACAUCCACAUGGUGAAACAUUAAGGGAAUGCAUUUCCUGUGUUGCAUCAGGAUAAUUUAACAUCGUGAAAAAGGCAUGGCUCGUGCAAUGUGUGAUUUGUUAGCAGAGCAAAACCUCAAUACCUACCGGAUUAAUUUGCUUGCAUGAACAUGUUAGUGUUUCUCACAAAUCCAUCAAUGUCAAUGAGUGUGAUUUCGUUUUUCUUUUAAUGUUUUUCUGUAGACUUGUUUACACCCUUUCCUUUUUGUGCAUGCUGGCAUGUCAUUGUGUCAUUUUUCAAGUCAACACUAAUUGAAUUUUUACCAAGAACAGUUUACAAUAGAGUCACAGUGAUGGGAAAAAUUAGUGUUGGUUAGACAUCGGACAUUUGAUUUUUGAAUUUAUGUUGAAAUCUAUAAUGCUCUGACUAGCUAUAUGCUGUGAUAAACCAGGGUCACUUGGUGCUGCUUGAUCUGUAUUAUUAUAUAAACUUCCUCUGAAUAUACAUUUGAUAAAUGCCUUUGCAGGAUGAGCAUAAUAACGAUGGGCUAAAGGGUUUUAUUGGCACUUCAGAAAGCUACUGUCAUUUAAAAACAUAGAAUAAGCUAAAAUCAGAAAUUCCAUGAUGUUAAAUUAAUUUCCCCAUCUGGCUAAUUAUAACUUAAAAGCUGUGUUUCCUUUUUUUAAUGAAUACUGUAGUAGCAAUUACUGUUAUGUACUUGAAAGCAGUCGUCCCAAGCAAUGGCUUUAUAAGCAAUCUUGGGCUUUUAUAAGGAUUUAUAUGAAAGUGUAAAUUACUUGUUGGUUUGGGAAAUCAUUGUGUAGCUUCGCUUAUAAUCGACUGCCAUUUAAUCAAAAGCGUUAGCACCCUGGUGUUAACUUUCCUUUACUUGCAUAUAUUCUUGAAUGUGAGCCAAGUUGGGACAUUUCCUUUACAAAUUUACAAGCAAGUAGAUUUCAUUCACUAAACAAUUUUAGUUUAUCUGCAUGGGUUUCUUCAAAUUUUCUGCAUGCUGCUUGCUUUUCUCUGGGACUGAUUUGUAGACUCUUGACUGUUGAGACUAGAGCUGGCCCGAUACCGUUUUUUGCUUACCGAUUCCGAUACCUGAACUUGCGUAUCGGCCGAUACCAAGUACUGAUCCGAUACCAGUGUGUCAUAUAUUUGAUUAUGUUUUAACAGCUGUGUACU
This is a long non-coding RNA of Perca fluviatilis (European perch), 1482 nucleotides long. RefSeq lists it as uncharacterized. The record is from RefSeq and is a predicted model, not a curated record. The transcript has 3 exons. Lineage: Eukaryota; Metazoa; Chordata; Actinopteri; Perciformes; Percidae.